UACGUAGGGUGCAAGCGUUAAUCGGAAUUACUGGGCGUAAAGCGUGCGCAGGCGGUUUUGUAAGCCAGAUGUGAAAUCCCCGGGCUUAACCUGGGAAUGGCAUUUGGGACUGCAAGGCUGGAGUGCGGCAGAGGAGACUGGAAUUCCUGGUGUAGCAGUGAAAUGCGUAGAUAUCAGGAAGAACACCCGUGGCGAAGGCGGCCCUCUGGAACGCAACUGACACUGAGACGCGAAAGCGUGGGGAGCAGACAGG
RNAcentral lists this ribosomal RNA (253 nucleotides) under uncultured bacterium. Its description in RNAcentral is "partial 16S ribosomal RNA". It matches the Rfam family "Bacterial small subunit ribosomal RNA", at positions 524 to 776 of the family's 1533-position model. The record is from RNAcentral.